AUCAUCAUUCAGGGAACGUGUAUACAAAGUUAUCUCAAACGAGUAUUUAAAUAUUACUACUUUAAGAUGGGAUGCUGUGAAGUAUUGAAAAUCGCUUUUAGUGUCAUCAAUGCAUUAUGUACGCCUGUACUUAUUGCGGCAAUAUACGGUGUGAACAAGGGAUAUCUUUAUGAUUUUGCACCAUUCGUUUUACUUUAUGUAGUCUCGCUAUUCAUCAAUGUACAUCUUAAUAUGCUCAAUUUGGAACGCACAUUUAAGACGAAUCGCAGAUUAGUUAUAACAUGUGCUUCCUGCUCGAUCUAUUUUAUUUUUUUGCGAUUAUUGAAACUUAAUAUAGUAAUUGUAUUUAUAUUCUUCAUACAUUUUAUUAACUUUUUGAUCCUAUGUUACCUUGUUAUUUCGCUUAUUAUUGUGUGUUUAAUACACUUGGAUUUUCGAAAGAAUCAAAACACGGCGCUUGAUACUGAAAUGAAUACGAUCGAAACGUUACCAGAGUAAUGAGAGAUCUGAUAUCGAUACUACAAUUCAUUUCGAGAAUUUAUUAUUGGGUACAUAUUCAACGCUCAAUGCUCAACUACCUCAGAAGAUUUAAAGUAGACUUUUAUCUAAAAUAUCUAGUGAUAAUAUCUAGUGAUGCGAGUUAUUUUUAUUACUGUAAAUUGUUUUAUACUUCAAUCAAAAUCAAGUCAAAUAUAUUAAAAAAAUUAUAUUAAUAUAUAAGUUGCUUAAUAUUUAUAACUUUCUAGUGGAGUGCAAAAUUAGCUUGCAUACAUAAUUCUCUGAACUUUUGAACUUGAUUCAAACUAUGGCAGCCUCAAUGAAUCUGCAUGCGAUUGCUCAGAUGUAGAAUACGGCGGUGUCUACAGUUUCUGAACACCGGAGUCUAUUUCAAUUUUCACAUUUACUUUUGUUUGUACUCAUCAAUAUGCGAAUACUUAUCGAUCUUCUUUAUUUACAUUUCUCUCUCGCUUGCUCAAAUUCUCUUUUUGGCAAUCGGCUUUUAAUGUUGAUUAGCUCGGGUAAGUUAAUACACAACGUACAAACAAAGCAUAAAUCAUGGGAAAAAUGUGGAUUUAGUAUUUUAAUGUCUUAUUGUAAUAUUAAUUUUCUUAAAAAAUUGACUUAACAUUUUGUUUUAAUUUUAUUAAAAAAAUGAAAGAGCAAAAUCAAGAUUUCUCUUUUGGCGGUAAAUUCAAGAGAAUCCACUUAGGUUCCACAUUGCGAGACUUCUAAUUUUUCGAAUAGACAUGCGUUGCUACAAAUAUCAGCAGUGUGCCCAAAACCAUCAUCCAGUGAACGUGUAUUCAAGAUUAUUGCAAUUGAGUAUUUAAAUAUUACCAACUAAAUAUGGGAUUCAAUGAAGUAUUGAGAGUCACUUUUAGAAUCAUCAAUGCGUUAUUAACGCCUGUGUUUAUUAUGGUAAUAUGCGGAGUGAACACACGACCUCAUCUAGGUUUUCCGCGACCUUUAGUUUUAUUUACUUAUUUACUUUGCCUUAUCGCGCUAUCGAUCAAUGUACAUCUAAAUAUGCUCAAUUUUGAACGCACAUUCAAGACGAAUCGUAGAUUAUUGAUAACAAUUUUCUCCUGCUCAAUCUUUAUUUGUUCAUUGCACUAUACGG
Long non-coding RNA from Drosophila sulfurigaster albostrigata, 1621 nucleotides. RefSeq lists it as uncharacterized. The record is from RefSeq and is a predicted model, not a curated record. The transcript is spliced from 4 exons. NCBI's taxonomy places the organism in Eukaryota, Metazoa, Arthropoda, Insecta, Diptera, Drosophilidae.